Molecule: non-coding RNA, 367 nt
Organism: Marvinbryantia formatexigens DSM 14469
Lineage: Bacteria; Bacillati; Bacillota; Clostridia; Lachnospirales; Lachnospiraceae
Rfam family: Bacterial RNase P class A
About the family: Ribonuclease P (RNase P) is a ubiquitous endoribonuclease, found in archaea, bacteria and eukarya as well as chloroplasts and mitochondria. Its best characterised activity is the generation of mature 5'-ends of tRNAs by cleaving the 5'-leader elements of precursor-tRNAs.
Source: Rfam
UGAGUAGAGUAAAUGGUCGCGGCUGGCUGUCCGAAAGGUGCCAGACGAGGAAAGUCCGGGCUUCACAGGGCAGGAUGCCGGAUAACGUCCGGCGGAGGCGACUCCAGAGACAGUGCAACAGAAAUGAACCGCCGGCGUGCGCACCCGCAGAGGAUGCGCAUGUCUGGUAAGGGUGGAAGGGCAGUGUAAGAGACUACCGCCCGUCCGGUAACGGACGGGGCACAUGUAAACCUCAUCCGAAGCAAGACCGAAGAGAAGCAUAUGGCGGCCCGUCAGCUUCAGGUAGGUCGCUCGAACCUGGCGGCAACGCCAGGUCUGGAUAGAUGACCAUUCACGACAUAACCCGGCUUACCGCUCUGCUCACACA